Molecule: small RNA, 5615 nt
Filed under: Pan troglodytes (chimpanzee)
Lineage: Eukaryota; Metazoa; Chordata; Mammalia; Primates; Hominidae
Description: processed transcript
Source: RNAcentral
AUCCCUGAAGAGGCAAGAGGCACUCGAUUGCCUCCCUAGUUCCUGCCCUGCCCUGCAUUUGACAUGCGCUGAUGAUUAACCAUACAAGUAACGACUGUCAGGCUCUCAGCGGCUUGCAGACCAUUUCGUAUCCUUCCAUGUUCGCCUGUAGUUUCUGAACUGCUUCAUGUAGAGCAGCCAAUGGCUCGUGACAAGCCUGGCAGGGUCACUGCAGCCCUCGGCCUCCCCCUACUUCACCACGCUGAGUGACUUCCGUGCGUGCAAGAAGCCGGGUAUGCUGCUGGAUUAUACCUUAACCAUGUAUUUUCAACAAUAUUGGAGAGAUAAAAGGCUCGCCUAUUCUGGGAUCCCUCUCAACCUCACGCUUGACAAUCGAGUGGCUGACCAGCUAUGGGUGCCCGACACAUAUUUCUUAAAUGACAAAAAGUCAUUUGUGCAUGGAGUGACAGUGAAAAACCGCAUGAUCCGUCUUCACCCUGAUGGGACAGUGCUGUAUGGGCUCAGAAUCACCACGACAGCAGCAUGCAUGAUGGACCUCAGGAGAUACCCCCUGGAUGAGCAGAACUGCACUCUGGAAAUUGAAAGCUAUGGCUACACCACGGAUGACAUUGAGUUUUACUGGCGAGGCGGGGACAAGGCUGUUACCGGAGUGGAAAGGAUCGAGCUCCCGCAGUUCUCCAUCGUGGAGCACCGUCUGGUCUCGAGGAAUGUUGUCUUCGCCACAGGUGCCUAUCCUCGACUGUCACUGAGCUUUCGGUUGAAGAGGAACAUUGGAUACUUCAUUCUUCAGACUUAUAUGCCCUCUAUACUGAUAACGAUUCUGUCGUGGGUGUCCUUCUGGAUCAAUUAUGAUGCAUCUGCUGCUAGAGUUGCCCUCGGGAUCACAACUGUGCUGACAAUGACAACCAUCAACACCCACCUUCGGGAGACCUUGCCCAAAAUCCCCUACGUCAAAGCCAUUGACAUGUACCUUAUGGGCUGCUUCGUCUUUGUGUUCCUGGCCCUUCUGGAGUAUGCCUUUGUCAACUACAUUUUCUUUGGAAGAGGCCCUCAAAGGCAGAAGAAGCUUGCAGAAAAGACAGCCAAGGCAAAGAAUGACCGUUCAAAGAGCGAAAGCAACCGGGUGGAUGCUCAUGGAAAUAUUCUGUUGACAUCGCUGGAAGUUCACAAUGAAAUGAAUGAGGUCGCAGGCGGCAUUGGCGAUACCAGGAAUUCAGCAAUAUCCUUUGACAACUCAGGAAUCCAGUACAGGAAACAGAGCAUGCCUCGAGAAGGGCAUGGGCGAUUCCUGGGGGACAGAAGCCUCCCGCACAAGAAGACCCAUCUACGGAGGAGGUCUUCGCAGCUCAAAAUUAAAAUACCUGAUCUAACCGAUGUGAAUGCCAUAGACAGAUGGUCCAGGAUCGUGUUUCCAUUCACUUUUUCUCUUUUCAACUUAGUUUACUGGCUGUACUAUGUUAACUGAGUGACUGUACUUGAUUUUUCAAAGACUUCAUUUAACACUGAGUGAAAUAUUACUCUGCCUGUCAAGUUUUUAUACCUGUACACACACAGACACACACACAAGCAGACACACACAUAUAUACAUACGCAAUUGUAUAUAUAUGUGAACUUUCUCAGCAUAUAUAUAAAAUACACGUGUAUAUGAGGAUGUAUGUGUAUAUGUUUAUACACACAGGAGUCAGUGCCCAUGUGUAUGGAAGACAAAUACACAUACAUAUAUACAUUUUGCAGCUAUGGACAAUUUACCACAGGAUGCAUAUUAAAGAAAGUCAUAGUUUUUUUCUUUUUUAAUUGAAAGGGACAAGUAUCAUCUAAAUAUUAUGCCUUGAGAAUGAGGGCGUGAAACACAAUAUCAUCCCCAAAUGUGUCUUCUAUUAUCAUAAGUUAGAUGUUUUAGUUUAAAAAUCAGAAAGACAUUCUUAGUUAAUCUUUGAAAACUCAUACAGUGGUAUUGCUAGUUUAAAAUGAGUCACUUACUUCAUAUCCUCUCGUUCAGUUUAGUAAGCGAAGGCUUCUUGGCUUCUCUGGUGAUGGGGUUUGUUUUCAUCGGGCAUACGUUUUCUGCAAUGGUUUAGUGGCUGGGGUGAGCCACUGGCAGUGUGCUUACCUGUUGUCUUAAACAGAUAGAUCCCACGUUGAUGUCUGAACGACCGUCUUUUGAAAACUCAUCGGGAGUGAAUGGCAUCUCGUUGUAAGUACUCUAAUAUACAGUGUGUAGUUUGUUUAUGUUGUUCACUUGGAGUGGAUCCAGCUUCACUGUCAUGUGCCAACACAGUGACAGGUUUGGCCAGUGACAUUUCAAUCACGGAAAAUGUGCUCUACAUCUCGUAUGGAUUUCUGGGCCUGAUAUCCAACAGAAAGCAUAGACGUCUCAGGUUAUUCGUUACUCUAAGGUAAAACCAUCUAGGAUGAUUUUCCCCCUUGCAGUUAUGUUAUCAUUCUUAUAACAUUGUAUGUUAAUAGAAAAUAUAUUUGCAUAAUAUGCAUAUAUAUGUAUAUUUACCAAGAUUUUGUUUCUUACGCUUGCUAUCAUGGCAGCAUGCGAUGUCAUAUUUUCCUUUAUGUGAUGUAACUACUUUCUGUUAUCUAGAAAUUAAGAUUGAAGCUAAAACACUUCUACUGUUCAAUUUCAGAAACUAAGAAUCAUCCUCAUGCCUUUAUUUCUGUAUCUGACAUAUUUCAUAAGCACAUCCAACUACUCCUAGACUGACUAGGAUUCUGCAGGAACACGACCCGUACACACCACGCGUCACCCAACGACCCAUGACCGUUCUCUGAGGCAAAGGAGGGCAACCUGACAGCAAACACAGUCACUGUUGGUUCCUUCUGAUCCACAGCCUCAUCAGUAUUUGGACUUUUUAAAGCUCGUAGAAACAAGACAAGGUGCACCGGUUUCAUAGACGCAACCUUAACUUACUAUUUAGAUGAGAUCUUUCUAAAGAAAAAAAAAAGAGAUGAUAUAUUUUUUGUAAACAAUAUUUCUAUCACAGGCAUCCAUAAACUGAAAUGACUACAGUUGUGCAAACAGGUGUCACAGUGAAGUUGAGCAUUUGGAGAAAAAAAAAAAAGCAAAAUUUGCAGGAAGAACUGCUAAAUUAAUACUUUAUCCCAAAAUGCCACGUAUGCCUCACCCUCUCUGUUCUAUCCAAAACCAAGGACCAGAGUGCUCCAAUGGUAGGCCCCAGUUGUCUCGAUGUAGGUAGAGGCACCACCCUCCCCGAGGAUGCGUGUGGUGUGGACUAUCCCCAUGAGCUGACCACUACUUGAUUUUUCUUUGGUGGCCGUAACAACCUUUAAUUUGUGGGCAUCUGCAACAGUUCAUAACCCACCAUCAGAUAAAACAUAAUCCACAAAAUCUCACGCUAGAGGCAAUUACCUACUUUUAGACUCUUUUCCCUCUUUCAUUCCUAUCUUUUUCCUCCUAAUCGCUGCUCUCUGGUUUUAUUUUCAUCUGGAGACUAGCCAGGGAUUUCUUUGGCUUUGGCUUUUCUCUGACCAUUUUUUCCAUGGGUAACAAUGGGGGAUCCUAAAAGUUAAACAGAUUGGGAAAAACCUUGUUAAGUGGCCUUAUCAUUAUUAUCAUGUUAAAGAAAAAAAAUACAUUUGCAAAGACCUUAUCCCUUUCAAUACUUCAGGUAUCUUUUUCUGUAUCCAGUAAUUAAAGGUGUGAGGUCCACAUGCAGAAGAGGGACCCCAAAAUGUAAAUGGAUGUGGACAAAAACAGUCAAUGGUCUAUUUAAGUGUAUAAUUUAUACUAUUCAGAACUGUGACAUUAAUUCUUUCUGGGAGAAAAGUGAUUUAAAACUUUUUUGAUGCAUAGUUGAGGUACCCAAAUAUCAAAGGCAGAGACCCCAUGGGGCUCCAAAGAGCUGCAGUCUCCUUCCCAAGGUUUUCUGGAUAUAAAUUUGCAUGGUAUAGUCAUAAUAGCUUUUGAGCUUUUUAUAUGCAUUUGGCACCAAGACUGGGAUCCACAACUUUGUAGACACUGCGAUGAAGUUAACAUAUUAGCUAUACUAUAAAUAGUGUUUGUAACUACACACACACACACACACACACAAAUACAUACAUAUAUUCUGUAAAAACAAAAAAAGAAAACUUUUUAAGAUCCUUGGGUAUGUGUUUGCUUUACUCCAUUUCAGAAGAAAAUUACUUUUCUUCUAACAAAAUUAUUUUAUAGCUUCUCCAUUUUUAAAACUUGUGAGAGCAUUGAGAAGAGAACUCUGACUGUGUUAACAGAAGAGAGUUGAAUUGGAGUCUCUGUUGUGUUAAAAUGACCUCUCGUUACUCCACAGUAGUUAUUUGAGCCAGUGACUGAGUCGCGUUGAGGAAUUCUGAACCCGGACCUCUGACAUUGUUGGGAGGUGGCUGUUACCCACACCCAGACUUGGGUAUGGACAAGUUUCUGUCUUGAGUAAGGACAGAAACGUUAUCAUUGGGGAUAUAAUGAGAUUUCUUUCUUAACAAUUGAAAGUAAUAAAAAGUUAAUUUUCUCAGUAGUCCUGUCUUUCCAAAAUGCGCCACAGGGGCUCAAGAUCUACAGAAGAAUCUUGUUAUGACAGUUUGUUAUUACCCAUAUUCAGAUAUCCUUGAGAUAAUGGAAGAGCCCUGCUACAUAACUCCCUACAGAGAAAGACUGAUAGACUUGAGUAGUCCUUAAAACAAGUGUUAUUCCUGUUCACCAACCCCGGGACUGUGGAGGGGUUUCACUGUCUAUACCAUGCGACAUCCAUUUCCCCUGAAUCUCAAACGAACUAGAAAGUAUGUCAUGAUAAUGUUUCCAUUAGAUUUGGAAGCUACCUGUACAUCUGCAAUAUCAUGUGUUUUUAACGCCAGCACCCAGAACUUUGACAUGUUCAGUCACUCCCUGAAAGGCACUUCUCUCUUGUCCAAACACAGCGUUGACAUUUUUACCGAGGAGAUCAUCUCAAAGGUGAUGCCAAACGAGUCUGGGGCUGGUUUUAAGGGGACAGGCACAUUGCAGUUGUAGGUGUUCAUUUUCAGCAUCUAGUAGAUAAUCCAUUGGUGUUUGUCCCACCAUUGGUGUAUUCUAACAAGAAUGUGUCCAACUUUGAAUCUCCUGGCUUGAAAGUAUAAACCAUCACUUAAUUCUUAUUUUAACUCUCCACCUGAAAACCAGUUCAUAUUUCUGGCCAUUUUAUGUAAGCAAAACUGAACAAUUGGUGAAACAUUUUGUUACUCUUGGAAUUGACUCUGGCUGUCAGUGUGAGCCAUUAGAGUAACAUCGAAUCUUGGGGCAAAGAGCUGCCCAGGUGAAUUAAAUUUUUCCAGGACACUAUCUAGUGUGCCUUGGAUUGCUUACCUCUUCUACUGCAUUGAAAGGUGCCAUGUUUUCCUGAAAUACUAAAUUCCCAACACCUGGGUAAACAAUGACGUCCCAGAGAGUGGCUCCCGUAUGCCUCUCCUUAGGACCAACCCCAUGAACAUGUUUUGUCACGCUUGUCUCACGUUUCUACUUCACAAGUCAGUGAGUGUGUUUAAGGUAAGUACAGGAUUAUUCUAGUAGGAAUAGGCGAUUGCUGUCAUAAUCAAUUCUCAUGUUGAUUUCAUUUUAUUGUAAAGAUAAAUUUAAACCCAGUUUUGCUUAAGCACAU